This 2695-nucleotide long non-coding RNA is filed under the name Hordeum vulgare. RNAcentral describes it as "long non-coding RNA (HVUL_LNC005554)". Lineage: Eukaryota; Viridiplantae; Streptophyta; Magnoliopsida; Poales; Poaceae. The record is from RNAcentral.
ACACCCACACCCACUCUUCUUCCCCCAACCGUCUCGGAUCGGAGCAGAGCAGAGGCUCUCCCUUGGCCUUCCUCCCUCUCGGCAGCAGGCUCGACCUUUGCAUGGCAGCAGUGGCUACCUCCAAGGGGCGGGUGAUCGCUGGGAGCCUCGUCGCGCGCGUCCUUGCCGGCAAGGCCGCCAACGCCUCCCCGAGGUAUGCUCACACGCCUCCUGUGAGCUCAAAGAAAGAAUCAGAGUACUAGCAUACGUACUUACGUUGGAAGUAGAUCAGUACCACUACUGCUGCUAGUUCAACAGUGCCUCCGAGAUCUAGUUGCUCCGGAGAUUUGUAAAUGGUUCCUUUUGCUGCUCUCACCUCGGCUGCCGUGGGUACUGGUUCCCCCAUCGGUUCGCCAUCACAAUCAUCAUCUUGGUAUGGAAAUUGAUUAACCCGUGUUCUGUGAAGCGGCGCUGGGGAUAGGUACGUACCGUCGUGCUGCGCUAGAACUUGCAACACAGUUUCCCAACCCAACCCAAAGUUAGAAAGAUUGUGUCUCGAGUUCUCAGUCACGUCCUCCCCGCCUUGGAAACGCUCACAAAACUUCUUUGUAAAGCAGGGCGCAAGUGCCUUUUUCUCUCUCUAAAAAAAGCUUCCGUUUCACAAACUUGUUUGGUCCCUGUAAUAAGAACAGCAAAAAUAUCUUUCAUCUCUCCUGCCCAUAUGCGUCGACGAUCCGUAGCAGCAGCACAUCAUAUGAGUAGGACGGAUGUCAAGAUAAAUCUGCAGAGCAGGAGAGAGCUCCACCACAGAAGAAGGCAGAGAAGGCCAGAUCCAUGGAGAUAUUUCUCUGCGCCUCCCAGUUGCGGCCGGCUCGUCGGAGAUGGCCAAGACAUCACCCGAGCCCCGGCGGCGAAGGGAUAGUGCAAGGAUAUUAUUCACGGCCCGGACGGGUCGGUCGCUCGUUUCUGUUUCUUUCUGGGAGAUUUUAUUGACGGCAGCGAAUGGGUGGACGGGUAGGUGCGGGGUGGUUGUCCGUCCGUCCGUCCGCCAUCUGCCGGCCUGAGCGCUCCCUUGGUUUUCACUCCAAGGAUGGGGCUGGUGCGAGGCGAGAGGUUGGUGGUGGCGCCCACGGUCGGGGUUGCCGUGAGAUCAAGGCGCGGAUGAGACCCUCGGGCCCGCGGUCUGGCCCUGCACGAUCCCACUUCUUCUGGGCUCCGGAUCUGAACCGGCCGGCGGGCGACGUGUCGUCCAUCGGGUCCCGGGGCGGACGUACUGGGUGCACGUACACGCUAGGGUGAGUAGGAUGAUGGCGCCGGUCUUAUCCACAAGACCCACCCACCCACCCACCGUCGUGCUGCCCCACCUUCUCCCGCCGUCUCUUCUUUGCUCACUGACCUAAGGCAGCCAGUGGAGUCCGGCCACAGCGCAAACGGCGUGCUUCGUGCCACCAUCAGUCACCACGCAUGGCCGGGCUCGUUCUAUGGUGCGUACCGAACUGAAAGAAAAAUUGGUUUAUGGGCGCCCACACGGCACGGCACGGCACUCUUUGCGUGAACUCGCCGUCCCGGGCACCAACAACACACUUUGUGCUGCCCACGGGAGCAGAAAAAAAUAAUAAAAAGAUGGAAAAGUGUAGCUUAAUGGCAAGCAAACGGACAGCGCACCGGUCAAGAUCUUAUGUACUCCCUCCGCCCGGUAAUAAGUGUAUUUUUUUCUUUUCUGUCAAUCAAACUAGUUAAACUUUGAUUAACUUUAUUGAAAAAGUGCUAGCAUUUAUGACAUCAGAUUAGUAUCAAUAGAUUUGCCUUUACAUGAGGUUUCCAAAUAUAUCAUUUUCAUGCCAUAUAUGUUGCUACUAUUUACUAUAAAAUUGGUCAAAUUUUUUAAAAAUUGACUAAGUACUAAUCUAUAUGUAUGCUUAUUUGUGGACGGAGGGAGUACAUAGUUAUAAUAACUUCAUUUAGUCAAUAAAAUCUUGGUAACACCCACCCACAUAUAUAGGACUUUUAAUUAACGCUCACUCAUUGGGCUGCCCUAUUGCUAGUCAAUGCAAUGGCUUAUAUAUAAUCAACUGACGCCGUGAUGCGUACGUGCAUUGUUUCAUCAUCGUUCUUUUGCAUCAUGAACGGAGUAUUUUCCUUACCAUCAAGUCAACGUGGUACCGUUGUGUAUGUAGGAUCCAACGACCUCAUUAACGAGCGAUCCGGUUUUGGUGUUUGGGUUUUGCAGGAGGGCGGUGCACGCGUCGGCCUACGACAAGAACGUGGACGAGCAGGUGCGCCCGGCCUUCGUGCCGGACGAUGUGAUCGGCGGCGCCGGGAGCCCAGACAAGUACUGGGGCCCUCACCCGACCACCGGCGUCUUCGGCCCGGCCGCGGUCGACCCCAAGCUGUCCGCCAGCCUCGCGGCGCCGGCCAGCGCCGCGAAUGGUGGCGGCGCCUCCGUGCUGGACCAGAAGGUGUGGUUCCGCCCGCUCGAGGACGUCGAGAAGCCCCCCGUCGCCUGAUCGCCGCCGGCGACCACAGCCCAGCUCGACAUCUCUAUCACUCUCCUUAGCUGGGCUCGACCACCUACUUAACUAUUAUCUCUAGUAGCGUGCUUGUGCUAUAGUACAGUCAUGGAAGGCACCAGAAGAAGAACCGGUAGUAGUGACGCGGUGUUGCUGCCUGGAAUAAGAACCUGUGAAAGAUGUGUGAUGAUGAUGACAGUGAUGUG